CUUCCUGAUGAACUCUUAAUUCGCUGUGUUCUUGCCGAGUGUUGACGUUGAAGAAAAUCUUGAUUCACCUUGGGGAACUGAUGU
RNAcentral lists this small nucleolar RNA (84 nucleotides) under Rasamsonia emersonii CBS 393.64. RNAcentral describes it as "A. fumigatus snoRNA Afu_294". It matches the Rfam family "A. fumigatus snoRNA Afu_294". Lineage: Eukaryota; Fungi; Ascomycota; Eurotiomycetes; Eurotiales; Trichocomaceae. The record is from Rfam by way of RNAcentral.